Non-coding RNA from Equus caballus (horse), 3610 nucleotides. NCBI's taxonomy places the organism in Eukaryota, Metazoa, Chordata, Mammalia, Perissodactyla, Equidae. The record is from RefSeq and is a predicted model, not a curated record.
GCGGUGAGGCGAUGAGUCACGCUGGGGAGGAGCGGGAGGCGGGGUGUCUGUGAGGGACGAUGGGGAAGGAGCACCCGGCGGUGAGGCGAUGGAGAUGGAUGGGCACCAGCGCGAUGCCUUGGGGGACGAUGGGGACAAGUGGGAUGCUGUGAGGGACCAUGGGGAAGAGCGCGAUUCUUUGAGGGACGAUGGGGACGAGUGUGAUGGAUGAGACUGGGAGGGGAUGAGGCGAUGACUCAAGAUGGGGAGGAGCGGGAGGCGGGGAGUCUGUGAGGGACAAGGGGGAGGAGCGCUGUUGGUGAGGAGUCAAGUGAGGAUGGCAGGGAGGGUGAGGCGGUGCCAGGAGGAGCCGGCGGAGGCAGGAAGGAUUCCCCCAGGGCCUCCGAAAGGGAGAGAAUGAAUUCCUGUGGCUGUAAGCUCUCUAUUUGUGGUCAUUUGUUCUGGCAGCUCCAAGAAGUGAGUAAAGCAGCCAUCCUGGCUUGUCCCUGCUGGAAGGGUUUCUGGGACAUGGGAGUUUCAGUGCUAAAAUCAGGAAAACGCGGAGAGCCCAGAUGAGUUGGGCUCUCCAGGCGCCCCUGCCUCAGGCUUGAACUUAGCAUCUGGUGCGAUAAGGAAGCAGGGACCGCCAGGGUCUGUCUGUGGGCUAGGAGCCUGUGCCCAGGUGGUGACCACAGUGCUCCUGACCGGGCUCUUAGGGGCAGCAGGCUGCAGGCCCUUGUGUGCAGGGGUGGCAGGGUGGUCGUGCAGGGCGUGCCAUCCACACCUCACCUGUUCUGCGGUGUGAAGCUGACCUUCAUCCUCACUGAGAUUCUCCAGCCUGAAGCCCCAGCAAUUCUGCCAACUGGCCGGUAGCACCUGAAGGAACGUCCUUCUGCUUAAAUCGGUUGUGGGAGGAAGCUGUGUCUGCAGCAACCCUCUGGAACGAGGGGCCUGCCCCGCAGUGGAGAGACCGGGCCCUCAGGACACAGCUGCACCAGGGCGCAUGGUACUGCCUUAGCACCGGGCACCUGCCACAGGGCGUGUCUUGAACCACAUCAGGCCUGGGCAGCCAGGGAGGUCUUUUCCAGGAAAAGAAUUCAGCCUCAGGAAGCUCCCACCCUGUCUGAAGGCCCAGAUGGAGAGGAAGAGGCUGCUCAAAUGAUGAAAUCACAUCAGAUCUGGAAGCUGGCUCAAAAUAACCCAGGAAGGAGAUCGGUCCCUGAGGUCGUGUUCAUGUCUUGGCUAUUGUGAAUAACGCUGCAAUGAGCAUGGGAGAGCAGAUGUCUCUCAGAGGUAGUGAUUUGGUUUCCUUUGGAUUGAUAAACAAAUGGCUAACAAUAGGAUCGUCGGAGUCUGUGAGGAACCCAUUUGGUCUAAACCUACUUCAGCCUGACAUUGUUUUUUUCCCCAAAAGGUCCUAAUAUGGCCAUUGAGCAUGCACUGUAUGCCUGCUUGAAGCAUUUGCUGUGUCCCAAAGACAAGAACAAAUGGCCUUAAGAUAAAGGUGCAACUUCCCCCACAUUGGCAUUUCCUUAAGGAUGAGCAUCUCUCCCUAGGCUAGAAAUUGUUUGCUGUGCCCAGCCCGUGACCACCCACAUGGAGACAAAAGUCGGGCUACCUGCUGUGUCCAUCGAGACAGCUGACCCACCACCUGCUGUGUGAAUAGCUGUGCUCACAGGGCAAUCCCGAGACUCUUGUGAAAGGGAACUUUCAAUCAUAUGUGAUAGAUGCUCUUUGACGGUACAGAACCACUCUGUACACUCCCUCUUCUUGGGGGCCCUUCCUUCUUUGGAGAAGGAAGGCCACAGGCUAAGCUAGUCUUCACAAUAAACUCAGCCCAAUGUUCAAUUAUAGGUUGGUUAUGGAUUAUUUUCAUCGACAUUUCUUGGCAUAGUCAGAAGGAUUUCAGAGAAACCCACCAGAGAGCGCCUGGAACCUACACUGAACUGGCAUUCGGUACGAGCAUGGGCCCAUUGAGCCCCCCACAUCACUGCAUUCUUCAGGUGACCCUGGUGCGUUCUCCUGAAACCCAGGCCUCCUUAUUUUAAGUCGACGGUGCAGAGUUUAUAUGAGCUGUUUCUAACCUUAAGACUAAGAGUCACAAGGGGGCCCCAGCACACACCCUCGGUAAGAGGAACCUCGGGGGAAUGCCCAGGCCAGGGGAGCCAAGGGAGAACUUUGGAGUGAAUGGGGCAGGCUGACCUGUUUAAUUUGGCUUUAAAUGGAAAAGAAUUGUGUUUAUAAAGUGUGAACAAACUGCUUGAUAGAGAAAUGAGAGAGUGAACGUGUUCAGCUCUGAAGAGAAGGGCCACUGCUCCUCCCGGCCAAAUGGCGUUCUCGGGUGACUGAGGACCUCACGGAGUGGGCUGGAGGAUAGAAUGCCUCAUGAGGUGCAGCGGCCCCUAGGGAACUCCACCAUCAUUCUCAUUAACUAAUCAUGGUUCGUCCGGGAAGCACACGCAAGGGUUGGUCACCCGCACUCUGGCCCCCACAGAGGUUCUAGACUGCCCGAGGGAGAAACCGAGGCAUGUAAGAGACUGUUUACGACCUUUCUUUAGGGAGUAACACUCACAAGCAGUAGAUUUAGGACCCAUUACACUGUUGCUAGAAGUUGUUCGGACUUUAUAGCAAAAAUUAAAAAUUUUCAUUAAAUUUAAACUUUAAUUAAAAGAAAAGCAGGAAAUCAAGCUUCUAAAAAAGCCUCACCAGAUCCCAAAGGGGCAGCCUCUCCUCUGAACUCUGUUUGGCUUCAUGCUAUGACAUGCAAGUACUUGACAAAAGGGAGAAUGUUCCCAUCCCAGAUUCCUAAGACUGAAAGGAAAAAAGAAAGAAAUGGGAAAAGAAGUGUGUGCAGAAGCCAUCUGCUAUGAAAAUACCCUAGCCCAGAAAUCUAAGGAAAACCUUUGUUGUGCCUGUCUGUCUGUCUGUGUCUAUAUAUGUGUGUUACAAACGUGUGGCAUUUUACCUCCGGAUGGUACGAUUUCUAAAGAGCUCUAUUCCAUUGACUUAAAGUAAGCGCUCACAAAAUUUUGUUUUUCUAAAUGCAACUAAGCCAAAUGUCUUUCAAGCUGACGUGAUAGGCAAUAAUGUUUGUAAACGAAAGCUUGUUUAAGUUUCUUUGUUUGAUUAACACAGGCCUGUCCCCUGAGCCGUCAGCAUCGGAUAUGAUGCGCACACGAGGCCUUCAUUCUACGUUGAUCCGUCACAUAAGCUGAUGUUAUCUCCGUUACAAAACUGGUUAACAAGCAUAAUAACUAAAACGAUGGCUAAUUCUGUCUAAUGUCUCGUGAAGUCUUGUAGGCAAUCUAAAUGAUUAUUGGGAACAAGUAACUAGUAGUUGUGAAAAAGAUGAGCGUUGGGGGAACUUUUAACAAUAAUUAUGUGUUAUGGUGCAUGUACCUAAAACAGCUUCCAAAAUCUGCUUGCUAACUUGAAACUUUGAAGUUGCUAGGUUAAUUUAAGGGAUAAAGAUUCGUUAAAUAUCCAGAUAAUCUCUAAAUAAGAUAAAAUAUUAGGCAUUAAUUAUUAACUGUAUGUUUCUCUACUGUUGGCUUCUCAUUACAAAACCACCCUAAAAGUUACGUGUAUUAGUAAACAUGUCUUCUAUUUUAUUAAAAGAUUUUACUAUGAA